RNAcentral lists this ribosomal RNA (468 nucleotides) under uncultured bacterium. RNAcentral's name for it is "partial 16S ribosomal RNA". It matches the Rfam family "Bacterial small subunit ribosomal RNA", at positions 28 to 507 of the family's 1533-position model. The record is from RNAcentral.
GACGAACGCUGGCGGCGUGCUUAACACAUGCAAGUCGAACGGAGAGGCCCUGCUUUUGUGGGGUGCUCGAGUGGCGAACGGGUGAGUAACACGUGAGUAACCUGCCCUUGACUUUGGGAUAACUUCAGGAACUCGGGGUUAUCCCCGAUAGGAGGCCCGGGCAGAUGGGGGGGGGUUGGAAGUUUCGGGCGGUGGGGGUGGGCGCGCGGGUUAAACAGCUGGUUGGGGGGGGAGUGGCUAACCAGGGGUUUGACGGGUAGCCGGCCUGAGAGGGUGACCGGCCUCAUUGGUACUGAGAUACGGCCCAGACUCCUACGGGAGGCAGCAGUGGGGAAUAUUGCACAAUGGGCGGAAGCCUGAUGCAGCAACGCCGCGUGCGGGAUGACGGCCUUCGGGUUGUAAACCGCUUUCGCCUGUGACGAAGCGUGAGUGACGGUAAUGGGUAAAGAAGCACCGGCUAACUACGUG